CUGAAUUCCAUGCCAUUGAAAACCUAACCUCAAUGAAGAAUUCAACAGCAGAUCCAAGACUGCACUUUCCAAAACCACUGAAGAGCAGAAACAGAUCUGAACCAGACUUCAGAAAGGAAAGAACACGCCAAAUAUUACCCAAUAUUUUUCUCAGUGGUUUGGCAGUUCUUUCUGAUGACAUAUGCGGCACUGGAAAUUAUACAGCCCAGAUGAACCUUAAUUUGGAGAGGGAGCUGACGCCAGGAGACUCCAUUCCAGCUCACGGAAAUCUUCAUGUCGUUAUUAACAUUAAAACCAACAACAGCCUCAUUAAUUUGGAAAUUGAGUCCUGCUGUCUUUCACCUUUUGCUCAGCCAGAUGAUUUCAACACCACCUGCUGUGUGUUUUCAAGGUAAACAGUCAAAACACAGUUCUUC
This 416-nucleotide long non-coding RNA is filed under the name Lepisosteus oculatus (spotted gar). RNAcentral describes it as "lncRNA (ENSLOCG00000021851.1)". The record is from RNAcentral. Lineage: Eukaryota; Metazoa; Chordata; Actinopteri; Semionotiformes; Lepisosteidae.